Molecule: ribosomal RNA, 479 nt
Filed under: uncultured bacterium
Lineage: Bacteria
Description: bacterial SSU rRNA
Rfam family: Bacterial small subunit ribosomal RNA
Source: RNAcentral
ACCGUACUCCUACGGGAGGCAGCAGUGGGGAAUAUUGGACAAUGGGCGAAAGCCUGAUCCAGCCAUGCCGCGUGUGUGAAGAAGGUCUUCGGAUUGUAAAGCACUUUAAGUUGGGAGGAAGGGCAUUAACCUAAUACGUUAGUGUUUUGACGUUACCAACAGAAUAAGCACCGGCUAACUUCGUGCCAGCAGCCGCGGUAAUACGAAGGGUGCAAGCGUUAAUCGGAAUUACUGGGCGUAAAGCGCGCGUAGGUGGUUCAGCAAGUUGGAUGUGAAAGCCCCGGGCUCAACCUGGGAACUGCAUCCAAAACUACUGAGCUAGAGUACGGUAGAGGGUGGUGGAAUUUCCUGUGUAGCGGUGAAAUGCGUAGAUAUAGGAAGGAACACCAGUGGCGAAGGCGACCACCUGGACUGAUACUGACACUGAGGUGCGAAAGCGUGGGGAGCAAACAGGAUUAGAAACCCGAGUAGUCCUUGAC